UGGGGUUGUGGCUCAAUGGUGGAGUGCUUGCUUUGCACACAUGAGACACUGAGUUCAAUCCUCAGCACCACAA
RNAcentral lists this transfer RNA (73 nucleotides) under Marmota monax (woodchuck). Its description in RNAcentral is "tRNA.Ala". It matches the Rfam family "tRNA". Rfam says of the family: Transfer RNA (tRNA) molecules are approximately 80 nucleotides in length. Their secondary structure includes four short double-helical elements and three loops (D, anti-codon, and T loops). The record is from RNAcentral. Lineage: Eukaryota; Metazoa; Chordata; Mammalia; Rodentia; Sciuridae.